GAUCGGUCUUNUCNAGGCCAGACUGNGGAAUUCGUUCCAUCAAUUGAAGGCGCAGAGAAAUCAAAUCAUGUGAUCAUUGGGACAAUACCAGUUCCUUUGCGCAACAUGUGCCUGCUCGUAUAGCAAUGUUAGCAAUAACUUGCUGGGCGGAGCAAAGAGAUGCCUGAUUGGUACCCGAAAGAUGGUGAACUAUGCCUGGGCAAAUUGAAGCCAGAGGAAACUCUGGUGGAGGAUUGUAGCGAUUCUGACGUGCAAAUCGAUCGUCAGACCUGGGUAUAGGGGCGAAAGACUAAUCGAACCAUCUAGUAGCUGGGUUCCUUCCC
RNAcentral lists this ribosomal RNA (323 nucleotides) under Calepitrimerus baileyi. RNAcentral describes it as "partial large subunit ribosomal RNA". It matches the Rfam family "Eukaryotic large subunit ribosomal RNA", at positions 696 to 963 of the family's 3401-position model. Lineage: Eukaryota; Metazoa; Arthropoda; Arachnida; Trombidiformes; Eriophyidae. The record is from RNAcentral.